UGCCAGAGACUCCCAUGUGCCCGUAUGUACCAUAACAUCUCUCAUUCCCUCACUUUUCUCUAUUCUUUUACUAUUUAAAAUUAAUUAAUAUGGUGUGUAGCUUUUUAAGAAAAUAUAUUAUUUUAAAUAUAUUUAUUAAAAUUUAAAAAUUAAUUUUAAAUUAAUUCUAAUAUAUUUUAAUUAUAAAAUUUUUAAAACUAAUUUUCAAAAAAUAGAAUUAUAAUUUUUUUAUUACUAAUAAACAAGACUACCUACUUAAUUUGACUUUAUUUGAUAGCAAAAGGUGUAUUAUUCAUAUGAUAAACUCAAUUUAAGUCCCAUUGACCCCACCUAAUUUGUGGUUAUAGUAACCUAAUUUAUUGCCUUUGCCUCAAGGUAAAUGCAAAGGUGGCUUAGAAAUUAAUGCUAGGAUCUAAUUUCAAUGAAAAAACAGUUAUAAUUAAGAAAGAAUGGUAGUGUGGACUUAUAAACCAAGCACAGGUGGAAUAUUAAUAGCUUUCAUAAGAAAUUAAUGGAUUAAACUAGAAGAACUCUCUAGUUAGGAUUUCAGGACCAUUUAUGCAUAUUUGAAAUACGAAUUGAGCUUAAUUGGUGUUCUAAUUUAAUUUUAAUCAAUAUGAUAUUAGUGUUAUUUUUUUUAACUAUUAAAAGAAAGAAUUCUAUUCUUUGGUAAGAUUUAGAAAAUAUAAUUUCAUGGUAUGUAAUAUUAAUUUAGGCUUAUUUUCACUAGUUUCAAGAAUAAAAAAAAGAUAGAUGGAUUCCUUUCGUUCACAUCAUCUUUAAUCAGAAGUUUUUAAUUAUUUAUAUUUAUAUUUUUUUAUCUUAUGAAAAUAUUAUGCUGUACUUCCAUUAUAAUACUUAUUAAUGAAUUGCCAAAGGGUAAGACUAUAAAAAAAAAAUUGUGAAGGAGAAAAGAAAAGUGAUAAUUGGGAUGAUAUAUAAUAAAAAUUAUUAGAUGGGUAUGGGACCUUGGCGCUUGUGGUUGCCACAAAAAGGGGUUUCAAUGCCAUUUUCUUGUGUUUUUUUCUUUCCUUCAAUGAGUGAAUUCUACUGUUUUUGACCCUUUUCCAAUUCUUGUUCUUUAUAAAUGGGUGGUUAUGCUUUUGUGUUACUAUUCAUUGUCAUUUUCUCCUACUUUUUAGUUGCAAAGAUCUUACAUAGAUUUGUAUGCUUGCUUCACAUGUGCUAUAGUUAUUUUCCUAGUAAUUAACAAAUUUUAUUUAUUUGAUUAUAAAAUUAGGUUUUGGCUCCACUUCCAAUUGGA
This 1264-nucleotide unclassified non-coding RNA is filed under the name Hevea brasiliensis (rubber tree). Lineage: Eukaryota; Viridiplantae; Streptophyta; Magnoliopsida; Malpighiales; Euphorbiaceae. The record is from RNAcentral.